CCUACGGGUGGCAGCAGUGAGGAAUAUUGGUCAAUGGGCGGGAGCCUGAACCAGCCAAGCCGCGUGAGGGAAGAAGGUACAGCGUAUCGUAAACCUCUUUUGUCAGGGAACAAAGGCGGGGACUAGUCCCCGGAUGCGGGUACCUGAAGAAAAAGCAUCGGCUAACGCCGUGCCAGCAGCCGCGGUAAUACGGAGGAUGCGAGCGUUAUCCGGUUUUAUGGGGUUUAAAGGGUGCGCAGGCGGCCUGUUAAGUCAGCGGUAAAAGCCCGGGGCUCAACCCCGGCGAGCCGUUGAAACUGGCGGGCUGGAGUUGGAGAGAAGUACGCGGAAUGCGCGGUGUAGCGGUGAAAUGCUUAGAUAUCGCGCAGAACCCCGAUUGCGAAGGCAGCGUACCGGCUCCACACUGACGCUGAGGCACGAAAGCGUGGGUAUCGAACAGGAUUAGAUACCCUAGUAGUC
RNAcentral lists this ribosomal RNA (459 nucleotides) under uncultured bacterium. RNAcentral's name for it is "partial 16S ribosomal RNA". It matches the Rfam family "Bacterial small subunit ribosomal RNA", at positions 338 to 795 of the family's 1533-position model. The record is from RNAcentral.